Molecule: ribosomal RNA, 497 nt
Filed under: uncultured bacterium
Lineage: Bacteria
Description: partial 16S ribosomal RNA
Rfam family: Bacterial small subunit ribosomal RNA
Source: RNAcentral
GAUGAACGCUGGCGGCGUGCCUAAUACAUGCAAGUCGAGCGAACAGACGAGGAGCUUGCUCCUCUGACGUUAGCGGCGGACGGGUGAGUAACACGUGGAUAACCUACCUAUAAGACUGGGAUAACUUCGGGAAACCGGAGCUAAUACCGGAUAAUAUAUUGAACCGCAUGGUUCAAUAGUGAAAGACGGUUUUGCUGUCACUUAUAGAUGGAUCCGCGCCGCAUUAGCUAGUUGGUAAGGUAACGGCUUACCAAGGCGACGAUGCGUAGCCGACCUGAGAGGGGGGUCGGCGACAUUGGAACUGAGACACGGACCAGACUCCUACGGGAGGCAGCAGUAGGGAAUCUUCCGCAAUGGGCGAAAGCCUGAAGGAGCAACGCGGCGUGAGUGAUGAAGGUCUUCGGAUCGUAAAACUCUGUUAUUAGGGAAGAACAAAUGUGUAAGUAACUAUGCACGUCUUGACGGUAACUAAUAAGAAAGCCACGGCUAACUACGUG